AUGAACGCUGGCGGCGUGCCUAAUACAUGCAAGUCGAGCGAACGGACGAGAAGCUUGCUUCUCUGAUGUUAGCGGCGGACGGGUGAGUAACACGUGGAUAACCUACCUAUAAGACUGGGAUAACUUCGGGAAACCGGAGCUAAUACCGGAUAAUAUUUUGAACCGCAUGGUUCAAAAGUGAAAGACGGUCUUGCUGUCACUUAUAGAUGGAUCCGCGCUGCAUUAGCUAGUUGGUAAGGUAACGGCUUACCAAGGCAACGAUGCAUAGCCGACCUGAGAGGGUGAUCGGCCACACUGGAACUGAGACACGGUCCAGACUCCUACGGGAGGCAGCAGUAGGGAAUCUUCCGCAAUGAGCGAAAGCCUGACGGAGCAACGCCGCGUGAGUGAUGAAGGUCUUCGGAUCGUAAAACUCUGUUAUUAGGGAAGAACAUAUGUGUAAGUAACUGUGCACAUCUUGACGGUACCUAAUCAGAAAGCCACGGCUAACUACGUG
RNAcentral lists this ribosomal RNA (496 nucleotides) under uncultured bacterium. RNAcentral describes it as "partial 16S ribosomal RNA". It matches the Rfam family "Bacterial small subunit ribosomal RNA", at positions 29 to 507 of the family's 1533-position model. The record is from RNAcentral.